Sorghum bicolor (sorghum) is the source of this 3800-nucleotide long non-coding RNA. RefSeq lists it as uncharacterized. The transcript has 8 exons. The record is from RefSeq and is a predicted model, not a curated record. Lineage: Eukaryota; Viridiplantae; Streptophyta; Magnoliopsida; Poales; Poaceae.
ACACAGGUAUGAGGGCCCAGUCAAAGGCUAAGCCACGUCUUUGACCGCGGCAGCCGAGAGCCGAGCGGCGAGUUGGCGACCCUCGCCGGCGGCGGCUUGGCUGCGGCAGGGCCCUGCCCCAGAGCUCCGCCUCAAGCUCCCCCACUAGGUGAGGGGGCUCUCGGACGGGUUCCGGCAGUACUGCGCUGGUGAAGGGGCUGACCCAAGAGGCGGUGCGCAGUGCUCAACAUGCCUGGCUGUAAUGUUGUUGAUUGUGUUUCUGUAGGCACAAUUAUUAUAAGUUUUUCUGCUGCCGUACCACCAUUCGCUUGAUUUCUAUCUUGAUCUAUUUUUAUUUGUUUGGCAUGAGGCAUGACCUACAGGUUGAUGAUAAUGUUUGGCUUGAUUUGGCUUAUACUCUAGCAUACUAUGUGUUUGUGAUAUUGUCUAGGCAAAGGUUAGAUAGCUCCUAAUGCAUUUUGACAUCUUGUCCAUCCAGUUUGGUCCCUUUAAUAUUUUUUUUUGAAAAGCCAUCCGGCAAGCUUUAUUAAUCUGAAAACAUUGUUACAUCGUUUGAUAAAAAGAGGAAUAAUACAAUUAGGGGGUUCGUCGACCCAAAUACAUGAAACUUUUGACAUAAACCCUUGCCGAGCUAGCUCAUGGGCAACUUGGUUGGAUUCUCUAUCACAAUGCUCAGUAGAAAUUUUUGUAAAUUCCCUCAACAAAUUAUCACAUUCAUCCAAAAUUGGAGCUGAAGCCAUCGCCGAAAAAUUACCAUCCUGUAUAGAUUGGACAACUUCCAAACAGUCAGAUUGUACUAUGAUUGUGCUGCAGCCUAACUGUUGUGCUAAUCUUAGACCCUCUCUCAAAGCAUAUGUCUCAGCCAUUUGAGCAUCUAGUACUAGAGGAGAAUACUUGUUUGCCGCUGCUAUGAUCGAUAAUGCAGCAUGUCCCUUGUGCCAGACAAGCAGUGAAGAUAUUAAGCAUAUGAUGUUUACAUGUGGCCGAGCAAAGUCUAUUUGGAAUUUCCUAGGAAUAGGGAGCCAAAUUGAUCCCUUUAAUAUUAUGUUACACUUUUCCUGCUGGAGGUUCUCACUGAGGUACACAACAGAUACAAAGGAAUUGAACACAGAGGCCAUGGUGCUGAGCAAAGGGAGGGGCUGUUCUUGUUUAUGGUGCACUGCUGAGGUUUGAGGGAUGGAUUAGUAGAUUUUCCUCAUUUUGAUCCUAAGCUUUCGUAGGGAUCAUGGGGCCUCAGGUCCUGCAACGGAUUUCUCUUUCUUAUUGACGAAAAGAAAAGGAGGAAUCACAUUGUUCGUUCUUUGGCAUCUCUUCAGAAUGGAUUUCGUUGGUAAGUUCUUUGUCCCUCUGUCAUUUGCUCUCUUUCCAAUUUUAUUUGGCUCACUGCAAUGGAUUAUUAAACAUGGUAGCACAUUCAUAUCCUAAAGAAAGUCUUUUAUGUCAAAAUUAAUAUACAUGUACAAUACCUGCAUCAUCAUCCCAAUGUUGAAAUGUUCAUUUCCUGCUUCUUACAAGGAUGUUUUAAGACAUUCUAAUUGCAGUUUUCCUUGUGUUCCUUAAUGGUCACUUCAUGAGGCAUGUGCUAUGCUGUUUCUACUCAUGCAUAUAUCAAUAUUUUUUUUUUGGUAAUAAAGAUCUAUAAUGUUCAGUGGCAGUGUCAAAGGUAUUGAUUCAUUUGUAAAAGAAUUAUCAGUUGCCAUCUUUUUUGUUGCAUUUUUGCUCACAGAAGUCAAAUAGGACGAAAAAGUAAAAAAAACAGCAGGCAAAUAAAGAAGGAAUUGUAUAUGGUAGUAUGGAACUAUUUCCAUUUCAGAUAUGAAAUGGGUUCAAUCCAGUAUGUGCACAUGAAUAGUAUAUGCGUAGAGGCCAGUUACUAACGAUCUUAUCUGUUUAUUAUUCACCUGAGUUAUUGUUGCUUCUUCAAUUUCCAGAGCGUGUGCUUGAGAAUGCUUUGUUGUCGACAAAUACAAAGUUUGUCAGUGUUUUGGUGCUUGCAGUUACAGGCUUUCGAAGAAGUUCAGGAGCAGCCUCUUCAUUGUUUCUUGCAAUGGUUCUUUCUCUACUGUAUGUAGCAAGUUCAAGGUGAAAGCUAUCAAUAAAAAUAAGGUUUAUAAAGUUUGGAUCAUGUUUACUUGCCUUUGGUGUAUAGGUAUUCAGUUUCUGGUCCUUGUAUUCUUGCUCAGGUAGUCAGGUAGCUGAAUGAUUUAGACUUUUGGAAUGAUCUGGUGCUUUAUUCAUGUGCUCCAAUGACCAUGCUAAGAAAAAUGCCUUCAUGAUUUUCUGCCAUGCGAAAACUAUUUAUCUAAAGUAAAUGAUAUUUCAUCUAUUGUUUAUUGAAUUGCAUUUGCAUAUGGCUACUAUGAUGUUGAUAGAACAAAUUUUCAAACUACAUUGCAAUCUUUCCUUGCUGUAGGUUCCCUUUUUCAGAAAGAGGUUGAUAGUUGAUGCUUUUUUAGAAAGGUGUGUGCCGGAUUGAUGUACCUGAUCAUAUUGCCAGUGGAGAUAUUUUGAGUGUCUGGCCCCUUAAGAUUCAAUCAGAAUGAAACUGUGGAAAGAAGCCAUGCAAAACUUGGAAUAAUAAAGCCUGCUGCCUCCUCACGCUUCUACGUCAUGCCUCCCUCCCAUGCCACACAACUCCCACCGCUCGCCGCGCCACCGGUGAAGCCUGCUGCCGGGGAAGGGAAGAAACUCAGUUGCUCGCCGCGCUGUGAGCGCCGCUGGUGAAGCCCACUGCUGCACCACCGGUGAAGCCCACCACUGGGGAAGGGAAGAGAGGCGGUUGCUCGCCCCAUCCACCGCCUCCCUGCCCAACCCUGCUCUGAGACGCCAGCGGUACAGUGCUGCUACGGUGUCAGAGGCAGCACCUGUUAUCGGUGCUCUGGGCAACCCAAGCAUUCCUAUCAUGGCUACCAGUGACGGAUGGGAGCAACCUGUUCGUGCGUGCUUUGCUAGUGUUUCAGUGUUCUUGUGUCCCGGUUCACUAAGAUCAGGAUCCAGAGAAAGAUUAAUGUUCACUCAAGUGAUAUUCACAUGGGUAGCACUGGUCAGAUUCUUUGGUGAAUCUGGAGUUGCCGUGUUGCGCUUGCAGAAACUUUAACCUGCCCCCAAUUCAUGAGGCCUCCUUCGUAAAUCCUUUUACUGUAGAAGCAAGGGCAAGUUCAGCGCUUGUCACCCGGAAGGAGCUGUAAAUAUCCCCUACAUGUACAGGACCGGCUCAGGAGAAUGCAUCAUCCAUGUUUGGUAUCAUGGGCCUGCUGUACAAGCUUGAAGUAUCAGAUUUGUCACUGCGUUAUAAGCCUGCUGGUGCCUGCUGCUUUAUCAGAGCAGGAGGAUGAUCCACAUGCUCACUGUAUUUUAGGAGGGAUUUAGCACUAUAACUGUAGAUUUGGUGGAGUACCACGUAGCCUGACUCAGUCAUUUUCUUAUCUGCCGAAGGAGCUGGUGGUGAGCUGGUGGUGAUCUGGUGGCAGUCAUUUUCUUCUCUGCCUAACCAUGAUGUUGUAAUAACCAUCACCCACUAGCAGUGACAAUCUGGUGGUAAAAUAAAACUAAUCACUGUACCAAAAUAUAAAAUCAGCCAAAAUAGGAGAUGAAGUCCAAUUGCUACCAAUUAGAACUCUACCAGUUUGGCUUGUAAGUGAUCUGCAUAGAAGAGGGUACAAUGAACAGUUGGAUCUUGAGGUCACUACAGAUGCCUUCCACUCUAGGACUUACAAGAACCACGAAUCUAAUGCAAUUAUAAACUGCUCACUGGAGUCUACAACUCUCUGAAUAAAAAGAAGCUAACAUUAAUGAGUGCA